UGUCGGGUCCUGUGCGAUCUCAUGGUGUGAACCCUGUCAGGUCCGGAAGGAAGCAGCAGUAAGCGCAAGUUGGGAUGUGCUGCAGGGGCGCCUGACAACG
RNAcentral lists this signal recognition particle RNA (100 nucleotides) under Clostridiales bacterium. RNAcentral's name for it is "signal recognition particle sRNA small type". It matches the Rfam family "Bacterial small signal recognition particle RNA". From Rfam's summary of the family: The signal recognition particle (SRP) is a universally conserved ribonucleoprotein involved in the co-translational targeting of proteins to membranes. Archaeal SRP consists of a 7S RNA and homologues of the eukaryotic SRP19 and SRP54 proteins. Lineage: Bacteria; Bacillati; Bacillota; Clostridia; Eubacteriales. The record is from RNAcentral. RNAcentral also lists the same sequence under 1 other name.